This 293-nucleotide ribosomal RNA is filed under the name uncultured bacterium. Its description in RNAcentral is "partial 16S ribosomal RNA". It matches the Rfam family "Archaeal small subunit ribosomal RNA", at positions 455 to 747 of the family's 1478-position model. The record is from RNAcentral.
GUGCCAGCCGCCGCGGUAACACCGGCAGCCCAAGUGAUGGCCGAUAUUAUUGGGCCUAAAGCGUCCGUAGCUGGCCGCGCAAGUUCGUCGGGAAAUCCACUCGCUUAACGAGUGGGCGUCCGGCGAAAACUGUGCAGCUUGGGACCGGAAGAUCCAAGGGGUACGUCCGGGGUAGGAGUGAAAUCCCGUAAUCCUGGACGGACCACCGAUGGCGAAAGCACCUUGGAAGGACGGAUCCGACAGUGAGGGGCGAAAGCCAGGGUCUCCAACCGGAUUAGAAACCCUUGUAGUCC